This 571-nucleotide ribosomal RNA is filed under the name Salmonella enterica. RNAcentral describes it as "partial 23S ribosomal RNA". The record is from RNAcentral. Lineage: Bacteria; Pseudomonadati; Pseudomonadota; Gammaproteobacteria; Enterobacterales; Enterobacteriaceae.
AGUGGAAGCGUCUGGAAAGGCGCGCGAUACAGGGUGACAGCCCCGUACACAAAAGCGCAUGUGCUGUGAGCUCGAUGAGUAGGGCGGGACACGUGGUAUCCUGUCUGAAUAUGGGGGGACCAUCCUCCAAGGCUAAAUACUCCUGACUGACCGAUAGUGAACCAGUACCGUGAGGGAAAGGCGAAAAGAACCCCGGCGAGGGGAGUGAAAAAGAACCUGAAACCGUGUACGUACAAGCAGUGGGAGCACAGGUUUACCUGUGUGACUGCGUACCUUUUGUAUAAUGGGUCAGCGACUUAUAUUCUGUAGCAAGGUUAACCGYAUAGGGGAGCCGUAGGGAAACCGAGUCUUAACCGGGCGUUAAGUUGCAGGGUAUAGACCCGAAACCCGGUGAUCUAGCCAUGGGCAGGUUGAAGGUUGGGUAACACUAACUGGAGGACCGAACCGACUAAUGUUGAAAAAUUAGCGGAUGACCUGUGGCUGGGGGUGAAAGGCCAAUCAAACCGGGAGAUAGCUGGUUCUCCCCGAAAGCUAUUUAGGUAGCGCCUCGUGAAUUCAUCUCCGGGGGUAG